Molecule: ribosomal RNA, 673 nt
Filed under: uncultured bacterium
Lineage: Bacteria
Description: bacterial SSU rRNA
Rfam family: Bacterial small subunit ribosomal RNA
Source: RNAcentral
AUUAGUGGCGGACGGGUGAGUAACGCGUGGAUAACCUGCCGUAUACAGGGGGAUAACACUUAGAAAUAGGUGCUAAUACCGCAUAAGCGCACGGUUCCGCAUGGAACAGUGUGAAAAACUCCGGUGGUAUACGAUGGAUCCGCGUCUGAUUAGCCAGUUGGCGGGGUAACGGCCCACCAAAGCGACGAUCAGCAGCCGGCCUGAGAGGGUGAACGGCCACAUUGGGACUGAGACACGGCCCAAACUCCUACGGGAGGCAGCAGUGGGGAAUAUUGCACAAUGGGGGAAACCCUGAUGCAGCGACGCCGCGUGAGUGAAGAAGUAUUUCGGUACGUAAAGCUCUAUCAGCAGGGAAGAAAAAAAGUCCUUUGGACUUUGGACGGUACCUGACUAAGAAGCCCCGGCUAACUACGUGCCAGCAGCCGCGGUAAUACGUAGGGGGCAAGCGUUAUCCGGAUUUACUGGGUGUAAAGGGAGCGUAGACGGCAGCGCAAGUCUGGAGUGAAAUGCCGGGGCCCAACCCCGGAACUGCUUUGGAAACUGUGCAGCUGGAGUGCAGGAGAGGUAAGCGGAAUUCCUAGUGUAGCGGUGAAAUGCGUAGAUAUUAGGAGGAACACCAGUGGCGAAGGCGGCUUACUGGAGUGUAACUGACGUUUGAGGCUCGAAAGCGUGG